Pogona vitticeps (central bearded dragon) is the source of this 336-nucleotide long non-coding RNA. RefSeq lists it as uncharacterized. The record is from RefSeq and is a predicted model, not a curated record. Lineage: Eukaryota; Metazoa; Chordata; Lepidosauria; Squamata; Agamidae.
GGAGGUGAAUAUCUGUAUACUGUACUUUGAUACAUUUGACAAGAAUGAAAGAGUUCAAGAAUGGAUAUUGUGUUCUAAGAAAUAAAGAAAUGAGGGUGUUUUCAGCACUAAAACUAGGAUGGCUCAUGGACUAAGUCGAGGAAAUUGUGCAUCACAUCCAGAUUUCAGGGGGAUGAACCAUCAAUGCCUAGGAAAGACUGGACUACAAUGGAUGCAUUCACACGUGGAAACUGAAAGUAGCUGAGCCAGCUGUGAUGUGAACAUCUUUUGAGGAAGAAAAAGAUUUAAGUAACUGCACAACGUCAUUCAACUGCGAGUGGUAGGAGCCCUCUGUCU